ACCAGAUCAUGAUGACUUGUGCUAAAACCCACAGUGGAACGCACAAGUUUGAUCUCACCUGGU
Molecule: regulatory RNA element, 63 nt
Organism: Scleropages formosus (Asian bonytongue)
Lineage: Eukaryota; Metazoa; Chordata; Actinopteri; Osteoglossiformes; Osteoglossidae
Rfam family: Selenocysteine insertion sequence 1
About the family: The incorporation of selenocysteine into a protein sequence is directed by an in-frame UGA codon (usually a stop codon) within the coding region of the mRNA. Selenoprotein mRNAs contain a conserved secondary structure in the 3' UTR that is required for the distinction of UGA stop from UGA selenocysteine.
Source: Rfam